GGGGGCGCACCGGUUUCGACGGGGAUGCGGACAUCGUUGAUUGCGGGUCGAGGCGCCGCUGGCCUCGUAAAAAGCGGCAAAAAAAGUAAUUGGCAACGAUUACGAAUACGCUUACGCGGCUUAAUCAAGCCGCGCCGUUGCAGAAUGUCCGCGCCUGACGGACAACUGUUACGGACGAUUUAUUCAGGCUGGUAUCCGAAAAGUGUUUGCCGCCAAGGAUACAAGACUAUCAGGCGGACUGGUCGCGAUAUACUCCGGACAGGGGCAAAAUCGCGAUAAGAAAUAAUCCUGUCCUACACCCGUAGAUAUUGCGAACGAUGCUUCUCGGACGCGAGUUCAACUCUCGCCGCCUCCACCA
This 358-nucleotide transfer-messenger RNA is filed under the name Desulfovibrio sp. It matches the Rfam family "transfer-messenger RNA". From Rfam's summary of the family: Bacterial tmRNA, also known as 10Sa RNA or SsrA, is named for its dual tRNA and mRNA-like properties. Its role is to liberate the mRNA from a stalled ribosome. Lineage: Bacteria; Pseudomonadati; Thermodesulfobacteriota; Desulfovibrionia; Desulfovibrionales; Desulfovibrionaceae. The record is from RNAcentral.